UCGAGUGUUAAAACUCCCUUAAACCCCUGUGAACAUACCUAUUGUUGCUUCGGCGGGAUCGCCCCGGGCGCCUUCACUGGUGCCCCGGAACCAGGCGCCCGCCGGGGACUAUAAACUUCUGUUUCUUAUAGAGGAUUUAUCUGAGUGGAUUUUAAAAAUCAAUCA
This 165-nucleotide unclassified non-coding RNA is filed under the name uncultured Acremonium. RNAcentral's name for it is "sequence contains ITS1". Lineage: Eukaryota; Fungi; Ascomycota. The record is from RNAcentral.